RNAcentral lists this ribosomal RNA (528 nucleotides) under uncultured bacterium. RNAcentral describes it as "bacterial SSU rRNA". It matches the Rfam family "Bacterial small subunit ribosomal RNA", at positions 777 to 1304 of the family's 1533-position model. The record is from RNAcentral.
AAUAGAUACCCAGGUAGUCCACGCCGUAAACGGUGGGCGCUAGGUGUGGGGGACUUUCCACGUCCUCUGUGCCGCAGCUAACGCAUUAAGCGCCCCGCCUGGGGAGUACGGCCGCAAGGCUAAAACUCAAAGGAAUUGACGGGGGGCCCGCACAAGCGGCGGAGCAUGUGGCUUAAUUCGACGCAACGCGAAGAACCUUACCAAGGCUUGACAUGCAGGGAAAUCUCGUAGAGAUACGGGGUCCGCAAGGGCUCUGCACAGGUGGUGCAUGGUUGUCGUCAGCUCGUGUCGUGAGAUGUUGGGUUGAGUCCCGCAACGAGCGCAACCCUUGUCCUAUGUUGCCAGCGAGUAAUGUCGGGGACUCAUAGGAGACUGCCGGGGUCAACUCGGAGGAAGGUGGGGAUGACGUCAAAUCAUCAUGCCCCUUAUGUCUUGGGCUGCACACAUGCUACAAUGGUCGGUACAAAGGGCUGCGAGACCGCAAGGUGGAGCGAAUCCCAAAAAGCCGGCCUCAGUUCGGAUUGGGGU